AUGGCAGCCACCAUGGUUAAUCCUUCCGAGGCGCAGAAUACGCCGCAGGACUACCUCUCAUCGCACAAACGCCGCCCACGCCGCCGUCGGGGUGGGCGCGGUGAGCUUGAGCACGAAGCUGCAGGGGUUCGCCCAGAGCUACGCCAACCAGAGGAUCAACGACUGCAAGCUCCAGCACUCGGGCGGGCCGUACGGGGAGAACAUCUUCUGGGGGUCGGGCGGCGCGGACUGAAAUGCGGCGGAUGCGGUGAACGCGUGGGUGGGCGAGAAGAAGGACUACGGCUACCGCUCCAACACCUGCGCCGCGGGGAAGGUGUGCGGGCACUCCACCAUGGGCUGCGCUCGCGUCGUCUGCAACAACAACCGUGGCGUCUUCAUCACCUGCAACUACGAGCCCGCCGGGAAUAUCGUUGGACGAAAACCAUACUAGCUAUGAUAUCUUCGCAGUAA
RNAcentral lists this ribosomal RNA (450 nucleotides) under Triticum aestivum (bread wheat). RNAcentral's name for it is "partial small subunit ribosomal RNA". The record is from RNAcentral. Lineage: Eukaryota; Viridiplantae; Streptophyta; Magnoliopsida; Poales; Poaceae.